Pseudophryne corroboree (corroboree frog) is the source of this 372-nucleotide long non-coding RNA. RefSeq lists it as uncharacterized. NCBI's taxonomy places the organism in Eukaryota, Metazoa, Chordata, Amphibia, Anura, Myobatrachidae. The record is from RefSeq and is a predicted model, not a curated record. The transcript is spliced from 3 exons.
GCCCCCGAAUUUGCUUGGCUCCUGGCGUCGGCGGUAGUCUGUGUGUGGCCUGCCCCUCACUGCUUCCUCUGUGGGGACUUGGAGGUGACAGGGACCUGCGGCAGUGUGGUGCCAUGAAGGGGCAUGCAGCAGUACUAGCAGGAGGAGGUGGUCCAGCCAGUCCAGCCGCACUCACCUUUUUUACCACUCUCUGACGCUGUUGCCCGACGUCAUGAUCCAACAAAAAACAGAAGAAGGGACCCACUGCUGCCGGAGAAGAAAGGGGACCCGCUUUUCCUGUCACUGAUGAGAAGGGGGACCCACUACUGCCCGAGUGUUAUUGUCCGGGACACUGGGCCAACCCUUAGUGUAUAUGUUACUGUGGUGAUGGGA